This 190-nucleotide non-coding RNA is filed under the name Anaerotignum neopropionicum. RNAcentral describes it as "Clostridium neopropionicum 6S / SsrS RNA". It matches the Rfam family "6S / SsrS RNA". From Rfam's summary of the family: E. coli 6S RNA was the first non coding RNA to be sequenced, but its function was unknown until recently. It consists of 184 nucleotides that fold into an extended hairpin structure with a large single-stranded internal bulge. The 6S RNA specifically associates with RNA polymerase holoenzyme containing the sigma70 specificity factor. The record is from Rfam by way of RNAcentral. Lineage: Bacteria; Bacillati; Bacillota; Clostridia; Lachnospirales; Anaerotignaceae.
AAAUUCCUGAAGUGUUCGAGAACUUACCAUAUUUGAACCUACACAACUGACUCGGGAUUCCUAUAUGCAAAAGCUAUGUCAGGCCCCAAGAUAAUUCCCUUUGGGCGGGGGAAGGCAGAUGCUUUGGCUGCGGUUACCCACCUGGCUUAGGCUAGGUGUCAAGCGGUAAGGACGGCACUUUGGGAUAUAU